CGAGUGAAGCGGCAAAAGCUCAAAUAUGAAAUAUAGUACCUUCGGUGCUCGAGUUGUAAUUUGAAGAUGGCGACUUUGGGAGUGGCCUCUAUCUAUGUUCCUUGGAACAGGACGUCACAGAGGGUGAGAAUCCCGUCUGAUGAGGUGAUCCACUCCUUCGUAAAGUGCUAUCGAAGAGUCGAGUUGUUUGGGAAUGCAGCUCUAAGUGGGUGGUAAAUUCCAUCUAAAGCUAAAUAUUGGCGAGAGACCGAUAGCGAACAAGUACAGUGAUGGAAAGAUGAAAAGAACUUUGAAAAGAGAGUGAAAAAGUACGUGAAAUUGUUGAAAGGGAAGGGUAUUAGAUCAGACUUGGCGUUGUGUGAUUAUCUUCCCCUUGUGGGUUGUGCACUCGUGCUUCGCUGGGCCAGCAUCGAUUCGUGUGGCAGGAUAAUAGCAUUGGAACGUGGCUGCGCUUCUGUGUAGUGUUAUAGCCUUUGUUGAUACUGCCUAUGUGGAUCGAGGACUGCGUCUUUUUGACUAGGAUGCUGGCGUAAUGAUCUAAUAUCGCCCGUCUUGAA
RNAcentral lists this ribosomal RNA (557 nucleotides) under Wickerhamomyces sp. UFMGCA5.2. RNAcentral describes it as "eukaryotic LSU rRNA". It matches the Rfam family "Eukaryotic large subunit ribosomal RNA", at positions 90 to 658 of the family's 3401-position model. Lineage: Eukaryota; Fungi; Ascomycota; Saccharomycetes; Phaffomycetales; Wickerhamomycetaceae. The record is from RNAcentral.